Pongo pygmaeus (Bornean orangutan) is the source of this 1136-nucleotide long non-coding RNA. RefSeq lists it as uncharacterized. Lineage: Eukaryota; Metazoa; Chordata; Mammalia; Primates; Hominidae. The transcript has 2 exons. The record is from RefSeq and is a predicted model, not a curated record.
GCCCUUCUUAGACUCUUCCUAACAGCAACUCUGAGAGACAGUGGGUUGUGGGCCAGACAGAGGACCAAGCCGUUUCAACUUACCUGUCAGAACUUGGAAAAUUAACCAAAGGCUUGCAACAAUCUGAAGAGCAUUUAUUCAAGAAAAAUGGGAAAAUCUCAGUAAGAAGAGUGAGCUUUGUGACAUUUUGAUUUACAUAUUUCCAUCAUCUUCUCCUCAGCAUCACAGAAGCCUUGAAAUUCAACUACCUUGAAGUCACAGUAGCCAUAAUGUGAUUGACAGAAUAAUGGCCCCCACGGAUGUGCAUAUCACAAUCCCCCAAAGCUAUAAUUACAUUGUGCUAAAUGGCAAAAAGUUACUGCGCAUAUGUGAUUAAGUUAAGGCUCCAAAUAUGGAGAAAUUAUCUUGUAUUAUCUAUGAGGCCUUGAUAUAAUCACAGGUGACCUUAUAGGACAAAGGCAGAAAGUAAAAGAGGGAAGGAGACGCUAUACUAUACUGCUGAUUGUGAAGAGGGAGGAAGGAGGCCACAAACCAAGGGAUACAGGCAGCCUCUGGAACAUGGAUAAGGCCAGAAAACAAAACAAAACCAAACCUGAAACAAAACAUAUUUUUUGUUUCCUUGGAGCCCCUAGAAAGAACAGAGUCCUGACGAUUCAAAUUAGAUUUCUUAACUUCAUAACUGUAAUAUCAUACAUGUGUUGUUUUAAGGCACUAAGUACGUAGUGAUGUGUUAUAGCAGCAAUAGGAAAUUAAUACAGGUUUUGGUACCUGGAAGUGGGACAUUGUUUGCUGUAGCAAGUACCUAAAAAUACAUAAGUGGCUUUGGAAUUGUGUAAUGGGUUUAAGCUGGAAGAACUUUGAGGAGCAUAAUAGAAAAUUCCUGGAUUACUUUACAAGACUGUUAGUGGAAAUAUAGUUAUUAACAGUACUGUACAUGAGAGCUGAGAAGGAAGUUAUAGGAAACAUGAAGAAACUGUAUUCUUUUUAUAUAAUGAUAGAAUGCUUAGCUGAACUGUGUCAUAAUGUUAUUUUGAAAGAUAAAUUUGAUUUUUAGUUGGGAUUCCAAGCAAAGUGUUGAAAUUGUGGUUUGGUUUCUUCCUUGUGCUUAUAGCAUAAUGUGGGGGAUAAAAAAAGAA